CUCUCUUUGCCUCCAAAGUUUUACCCCAAAAUUUGUCAUUCCCUAUCUAAAUUUUGCCGUCUUCCACUCUUCUUUGCCUCCAAAAAAAUUUUUCCCCAAAAGUAUUCAUUCCCUCCCUUUGUUGCAUCUGCAUAAUUGGCCUAAACCUAAUUCAAACGCUUCAAUUGAUGCGAAUUUCGACUUCAUCUACAGAUCCAUUUCUAUGAUAUUCUUCAAUCUGUCUUCCAGGUAUGCCCAUUCCAAGAUUAUAUCAAAUAUUAAAGUUUGUAGUUUAUUCCGUUUAUAUAUGUCAUCGUCCAUUGUUUGUUACCUUGAAGACAUAACAAUUAGCUUUAUCACACUUCUCAAAAAUUACUCCAUAUCUGUUGGGUCAAAAAGGAAGAUGAAAAUCUCAUAAUUGUUCUUGAUGAAUAUGGAUAGUUAUAUAGAAUAUUCUAUAGAAUAAUUGUACAAAAAAAUUGUUUGCUGUCAUUUAUGAGAUUGAACAAUCUCAUAAACGAAUUAUGAGAUUGAAUAAUUGUGCAUUACUGAAAUAUAAUUAUGGCUCUUCAAUCUCAUGUUUGUUCAAUAGACCAUAGGCAAUUAUGGAACAAUCUCAUAAUUAUGGCUCUUCAAUUUCAUAAUUGCUCAGUAGACCACAUGUAAUUGUUUGCUUUCAUUUUUGGUAAGAGAUAAAAUUGUGAAUCUUAAUUUUUUUUGUUUUUUUUUUUUUUUUUGGGAAGUCUACCCCUUUUAUUCAUUCAUGGCUUUUGAGAAAGAAUUUUUUUUUUAAAAUUUUUUUCUUGCAUAUUGUUUCUAAAUAUGUCAUGUUAAUGGUAAAAAUUAUUGAUCUUUGUAUAUUGAAUUGUUAAUAGUGAAAAAUUAUAUUCUCAUGUUUAUUUUUGACCUAAUCUUUUACUGAAUUGUUUCUCAAUUGAAUAAAAUAUUUUGAUUAUUAGUUAAAAAUUUAAAAUGUUUUUGGGAAUUAAUUAUAUUUCUUAGCUUGUGCUAUAUCUCUUAGGUACAGUUGUGUUAUCUCUUGCAAAUUUUUAUUUUAUGGAUUGUUUUAUAUAUCUUGUUGGUUGUGUUUGUAGGAAGAGAGGCUUGGCAAAGAGUAUGAAUAUUUUGUAGAGAGGGCAAACGAGCAGCAACUUCCCAAAGAUACCCCUUUGGAGAAGAUACAUGUAGAUGAUCCUGAUGCUAAAAUUAAUAUUAUGAUAUCCGUUCUAGGUAUGAAGCCUGAGCGUCAAAUUCUUAGGUUAGGAGAUGGACGCCUUCGAGAGAUUGGUAUAUCUUCUUCCAAUUUACACAAAUGGGAGAAGGAGUUGGAAGUAGAAUGUGCUGCUCGUAAGGUAGCCAAUGCAGCUCGAGUAAACAUGGAGAAAAAUAUGCAAAACAAUCUAAAGGUUGUUGAGCAAUAAUUCAAUUCUACAUUACAGUGUUGGCAUCAUUCUAUACAACAGUUAUGUGGUAAAUUUAUUGGCUUCAUUGCAUUUAUACCAUUGUCAGUAGAGAAUAAUGGUAAUGGGAAAGAUGAUGCUCUUGGGGAUGAAGAGAAUAACUUUGGUGAGAAUCAGCACAUAUCUAAUUCACGGGAAUAAAGAGUCAUGUUUUUUAUAUGCAUAACAAUAGAUAUAUAUAGCAUGUUUGCUCUACUCGUUUUAAUUUAGAUGUAAUUAUACUUGGUGAAUGUCAUUUAUUCGUGUUUUGUUA
Molecule: long non-coding RNA, 1692 nt
Filed under: Olea europaea (common olive)
Lineage: Eukaryota; Viridiplantae; Streptophyta; Magnoliopsida; Lamiales; Oleaceae
Description: long non-coding RNA (OEUR_LNC014907)
Source: RNAcentral